AUGGCGGAAAACAAAAUGGCGGGAACAGAAAAAAGGCGGGAACAGGAAAAAAGCAGGAAAAGAAAAAAAAGGUGGGAACAGGAAAAAGGUGGGAAAACAAAAAAAGGGAAAAUAAAAAAGGGCAGGAAAAUAAAAAAAGGCGGAAAAAAAAGGUGGGAAAACAAAAAAAGGUGGGAUCAGGAAAAAGGCAGGAACAGGAAAAAAGGUGGGAAACAAAAAAGGGCUGGAAAACAAAAAAAAGGGUGGGAAAAUGAAAAAGGUGGGAACAGGAAAAAGGUGGGAACAGAAAAUAGGUGGGAAACACAAAAAGGUGAGAAAAUGAAAAAGGGAAACAAAAAAAGGGUGGGAACAGAAAAAAGGGAAGGAAAAGAGAAAAAGGUGGGAAAGCAAAAAAAGGUGGGAAAACAAAAAAGGCAGGAAGACAAAAAAGGGCAGGAACAGGAACAGGGCUGGAAAACAAAAAAAAGGUGGGAAAACAAAAAAAAAGGGUGGGAAGAGAAAAAAAGGACAGGAAAAGAAAAAAGGGUGGGAACAGAAAAAAGGGCAGGAACAGGAAAAGGGCAGGAAAACAAAAAAAAGGCGGAAAAACAAAAAAAAAGGGUGGGAACAGAAAAAAAGGUGGGAACAGGAAAAAGGUGGGGACAGAAAAAAGGCGGGAAAACAAAAAAGGUGGGAAAAGGAAAAAGGCGGGAAAACAAAAAAGGCGGGAAAAGAGGAGGGGGAAAAAAGGGAAAAGAAAGGAAAAAAAGGGAAAAGAAAGAAAAAAAGGGAAAAGAAAGAAAAAAGGGAAAAGAAAGGAAAAAAAGGGAAAAGAAAGAAAAAAAAGGGAAAAGAAAGAAAAAAAGGGAAAAGAAAGAAAAAAAGGGAAAAGAAAGGAAAAAGGGAAAAGAAAGAAAAAAAAGGGAAAAGAAAGGAAAAAGGGAAAAGAAAGAAAAAAAGGGAAAAGAAAGGAAAAAAGGGAAAAGAAAGAAAAAAAGGGAAAAGAAAGAAAAAAAGGGAAAAGAAAGGAAAAAAGGGAAAAGAAAGAAAAAAGGGAAAAGAAAGAAAAAAAGGGAAAAGAAAGGAAAAAAGGGAAAAGAAAGAAAAAAAGGGAAAAGAAAGAAAAAAAGGGAAAAGAAAGGAAAAAAGGGAAAAGCAACCCCCCCCCUCCUCCCCUCAGGGAGCCGUUUGGAGCAUCAAGUUCCUCAGGAGUUUCUGGCGCCCCACCUCAUAAUCCUCCUCGUCCACGUUGACCAGCAGCUUGAUGGCCUCGUGGCCCACGGCCUGUUUGAGCGAGUCCGUGAUGAAGACGCCCUUGAGGGCCUCGAGCAGGGAGCCGUUGAUGUAAUCCCGCCAGAAGGCGUCCAGGUAGGUGAGCUCGGAGAACUUGAUGUCGCAGAUGAUGGAGCCCAGGUCGCGGGACUUGAGGAUGGUGUUGGCCUGGUUGAAGCGCUCGAACUGCCGCUCCAGGGGCUCCUGCUUGUUGGAGAAGACGUUGCCCUGCAGGGCGGAGUCGUGCUGGCAGUACUCGGCUCGCACCCGCAGGCGGAUGUCUGA
This 1536-nucleotide long non-coding RNA is filed under the name Manacus vitellinus (golden-collared manakin). RNAcentral describes it as "lncRNA (ENSMVIG00005009602.1)". Lineage: Eukaryota; Metazoa; Chordata; Aves; Passeriformes; Pipridae. The record is from RNAcentral.